UUGUCCUCCCCAUAGAUUCCCCACCCAUUAGACUGCCCCUUGCUGUCCUGCCCACAGGGUGUAGAUCUGCGUCUGUCUCGCCAGGUGGAGGCGAGCUGCAGGAGGUGGAACGAGCCUCCAUCAGAGACUGUAUCCACACAGCAAUGGGGUGUGGUGUGUUGUGUUGUUGUGUUGUUUGUUGUGUUACCUUGUGUUGUUUCGUGUUGUGUUUGUUGUGUUACAUUGUGUUGUUGUGUUGUGUUGUUGUGUUACAUUGUGUUGUUGUGUUAUUGUGAUGUGUUGUGGUGUUGUUGUGUUGUUGUAGUAUCCUUAUCAGCACUGUGGUGUGUUGUGGUGUUGUGGUGUUGUGUUGUUGUGUGUUGUGUUGUGUUGUUGUGUUGUGUUGUUGUGUUGUUGGUGCUUACAUUGUUUAUUGUUUACAAUUGUGUUGCUUGUUUGUGUUGUUGUUGUUAAUUGUGUUAUUUGUGUUUGCUGUUUUGUGUUAGUGUUAUUGUGUUGUGUGUGUGUUACCGUUGUUUUGUUGUUGUUUGUGACAUUUGUGUUUGUGUUAUUGUGUUGGUGUUGUGUUGCUGUUGUGUUGUUGCGUUACAUUGUGUUAUUGUGUUGUGUUACAUUGUGUUGUGUUGUUGUGUUGUUGUGUUACAUUGUGUUGUUGUGUUGUUGUGUUACAUUGUGUUGUUGUGUUGUGUUACAUUGUGUUGUGGUGUUGUGUUAUUGUGUUGUGUUAUUGUGUUACAUUGUGUUGUUGUGUUGUUGUGUUACAUUGUGUUGUUGUGUUAUUGUGUUACAUUGUGUUGUUGUGUUGUGUUAUUGUGUUGUUGUGUUGUUGUGUUACAUUGUGUUGUGUUGUUGUGUUACAUUGUGUUGUGUUACAUUGUGUUGUGUUGUCUGUGGUGUGUGUUGUUGUAAGUAUCCUAACAGCACUGUUGUUGUUGUGUUGUGUUGUUUUGUGUAGUUGUUUUGGUGUUGUUGUGUUGUGGUUGUUCGUGUUGUGCUGUUGUGUUGUGUUGUUGUGUUGUGUUGUUGUGUUGUGUUGUUGUGUUGUGUUACAUUGUUGUUGUGUUGUUGUGUUGCGUUGUUGUGUUGUUGUGUUGUGUUGUUGUGUUAUAGUGUUGUUGUGUUACAUUGUGUUGUUGUGUUAUUGUGUUGUUGUGUUACAUUGUGUUGUUGUGUUUUGUGUCUGCUGUGUUACAUUGUGUUGUUGUUUGUUAUUGUGUUGCUUGUGUUACAUUCGUGUUGUUGUGUUAUUGUGUUGCUUGUGUUACUUGUGUUGUUUUGUGUUAUGUGUUGUGUUGUUGUGUUAUU
This 1305-nucleotide long non-coding RNA is filed under the name Coturnix japonica (Japanese quail). RNAcentral's name for it is "lncRNA (ENSCJPG00005002625.1)". Lineage: Eukaryota; Metazoa; Chordata; Aves; Galliformes; Phasianidae. The record is from RNAcentral.